Molecule: long non-coding RNA, 782 nt
Organism: Eucalyptus grandis
Lineage: Eukaryota; Viridiplantae; Streptophyta; Magnoliopsida; Myrtales; Myrtaceae
Exons: 2
Source: RefSeq, a predicted model, not a curated record
GUGUCAUGAAAUGAAGAGAGUGAUGGAAUGGGAGUGGCUGACCACUCUCCUUCCAAAUCUGAAGGAGAUUAUAACAAAGAGUUGUGAGAACUUAGAGGAGAUAAUACGUGGCUCAUUGCCGAGCGGAGCCACUUGUCACCUUACAUAUCUUGAAGUAAAUUGUUGCAACAACAUGAAGAGGGCGCUGCUGACGCAAGACAUGGUGCUACACCUCCCUUUCCUCCAAGAGAUAUUAGUCAAAGACUGCAAGGGCAUAGAGGUGAUAAUGGGCACUGUUGCCAAAAUGACGCACUUUUCCUUCCCGAAGUUAAUGAACCUUGGUCUAUGUAAUCUUCCGGAGCUGAAGAGCAUAUGCGAUGGGACCACGAGAUGCAAUUCCCUCCAGUUGAUAUCUAUUGACAAUUGUCCAAAACUGAAGGGGAUUCCUCUGCAGCUGCCUGUGCUUGACAAUGGGCUCCUUCUCCUCCCCCUUCUCUUCAAGAGAUUCAGAUAAAUCGGCAGACGUGGGAGUCGCUGGAGUGGGAUCAUCCCCUUGCCCGUUCUACACUUGAACACUUCAUCGAGUUUCUUGACUGAUGAAGCCGUGGAGGAUCCCAUUGAGUAUGAAUCGUCUUCUGAUGGCAGUGGACAUCAGCCUCAACGCCAUUGCUACAUCAUCCUGCUCGAUUGAUGUUUAAAAUACCUCUGAACCUUACGAUGACAUAUGCUUAAUUUAUGCCUUAUUUUAUAAUCUAUGAUAACUACGUCUUGUUUCUGGAUUCUUCGGUUUGUAUUAUCCCUUA